AGUGAACGCUGGCGGUAGGCCUAACACAUGCAAGUCGAACGGCAGCACAGUAAGAGCUUGCUCUUACGGGUGGCGAGUGGCGGACGGGUGAGGAAUACAUCGGAAUCUACUUUUUCGUGGGGGAUAACGUAGGGAAACUUACGCUAAUACCGCAUACGACCUACGGGUGAAAGCAGGGGAUCUUCGGACCUUGCGCGAUUGAAUGAGCCGAUGUCGGAUUAGCUAGUUGGCGGGGUAAAGGCCCACCAAGGCGACAAUCCGUAGCUGGUCUGAGAGGAUGAUCAGCCACACUGGAACUGAGACACGGUCCAGACUCCUACGGGAGGCAGCAGUGGGGAAUAUUGGACAAUGGGCGCAAGCCUGAUCCAGCCAUACCGCGUGGGUGAAGAAGGCCUUCGGGUUGUAAAGCCCUUUUGUCGGGAAAGAAAAGCAGCAGGUUAAUACCCCGCUGUUCUGACGGUACCCAAAGAAUAAGCACCGGCUAACUUCGUG
RNAcentral lists this ribosomal RNA (492 nucleotides) under uncultured bacterium. RNAcentral describes it as "partial 16S ribosomal RNA". It matches the Rfam family "Bacterial small subunit ribosomal RNA", at positions 29 to 507 of the family's 1533-position model. The record is from RNAcentral.